GGCUCUGAAAAAGUCUUGUGAUGAAGACAAAGUUUUUUUAUGGUUUUCUAGCAUUCACCAACAUUCAUUUUGUCAUGGAAUCCAUUUUUCCGAAUUAUCUAAGAAUAGAAUGCUAUUUGAGGAAAGCAACCAGAAAGAUGCUCUAAGAGGUGGAGUUGGAAGGUCUCAGUAACGGGUGAGAUGUGGGGUGGAGGAAAAGGAAGAAUCAAAGAAAUCUGAGUAAAAGAAUUUAUAGGAGAAGUGGGUGGUAAGAGGUUUGGUUUUAGGCAUGCUGAAUUUGGGUUAAAGAACUGGAUUUAGAAUCUGAGCUUCAAGGAAGUGGUUUGGCCAGAGGAAUUAAUUUGGGAGUUAACCCCAUCCAGGUGGUAACUGAAGCCAUGGGAUGGGAUCAGAGAAUGGAUUUGUGAAAUAAGAGCAAUGGGCUGGGGACAGAAUCUUGGGGAUAAUUUAUUUUUAAUAAGAGUUAAGGAGGAAAGGCUCAAAAAGGAGAGCAGAUAGAAUGAGGAUGAGGAGAAACAGUCAGUCAUGGAAAUGCCAAAGAACCCUACUACAGUAUCUAGAAGGAGAGAUGACCACAAGUGUCAAAUCAGCAAGGGCAUCCCAUGAAAAAGGAUUAUUCAAAGAACUAUUCAGCAUCUGAAAACUUCUGCAAAAGUAAUUUCAAUGAAGUUGUAGGGCCAGAAGCCAGUUUAUGGUUGGCUGAAGAUUGAUUUGAAGUAAUUGGAAAAGUAGAGGAAAAG
Molecule: long non-coding RNA, 740 nt
Filed under: Marmota monax (woodchuck)
Lineage: Eukaryota; Metazoa; Chordata; Mammalia; Rodentia; Sciuridae
Source: RNAcentral